UUACUGAUGAUGGGAUGAGAAUCAAAAGUGAACAAGUUUUGAGAUGGAUGCAGAAGCUAUAUUAGUAGCUAAAUGUCUAAGUGUCUAACCAAUUAAUGUGACUCUUCUAGCAUGUUCAAUGUGUGAUUUUUUUUUCUUUUUAUCUUCGUGUUGAAGUGUACUUUUGGCUUCAAUGUUUCAACUUUUGCUUGAACAUUAUUCACUUUUUGCUUUAGCACUACAUUUUCAUGAACUAAA
This 237-nucleotide unclassified non-coding RNA is filed under the name Hevea brasiliensis (rubber tree). Lineage: Eukaryota; Viridiplantae; Streptophyta; Magnoliopsida; Malpighiales; Euphorbiaceae. The record is from RNAcentral.